GAUGAACGCUGGCGGCGUGCUUAACACAUGCAAGUCGAGCGAAGCAGUUAAGUUGAUUUCUUCGGAUUGAUUCUUGACUGACUGAGCGGCGGACGGGUGAGUAACGCGUGGGUGACCUGCCCCAUACCGGGGGAUAACAGCUGGAAACGGCUGCUAAUACCGCAUAAGCGCACAGAGCUGCAUGGCUCGGUGUGAAAAACUCCGGUGGUAUGGGAUGGGCCCGCGUCUGAUUAGGUAGUUGGCGGGGUAACGGCCCACCAAACCGACGAGCAGUAGCCGGCCUGAGAGGGCGAGCGGCCACAUUGGGACUGAGACACGGCCCAAACUCCUACGGGAGGCAGCAGUGGGGAAUAUUGCACAAUGGGGGAAACCCUGAUGCAGCGACGCCGCGUGAGCGAAGAAGUAUUUCGGUAUGUAAAGCUCUAUCAGCAGGGAAGAUAAUGACGGUACCUGACUAAGAAGCCCCGGCUAACUACGUGCCAGCCGCCGCCGUAA
This 495-nucleotide ribosomal RNA is filed under the name uncultured bacterium. RNAcentral's name for it is "partial 16S ribosomal RNA". It matches the Rfam family "Bacterial small subunit ribosomal RNA", at positions 28 to 523 of the family's 1533-position model. The record is from RNAcentral.